GUGCCAGCCGCCGCGGUAACACGUAGGAGACUAGCGUUAUUCGGAUUUACUGGGCGUAAAGCGCGUGCAGGCGGUUCGGUUAGUUGGAUGUGAAAGCUCCUGGCUUAACUGGGAGAGGUCGUUCAAUACUGCCGGACUUGAGAGUGGUAGAGGGAGUUGGAAUUCCGGGUGUAGUGGUAAAAUGCGUAGAUAUCCGGAAGAACACCAGUGGCGAAAGCGGACUCCUGGACCAUUUCUGACGCUCAGACGCGAAAGCUAGGGGAGCGAACGGGAUUAGAAACCCUGGUAGUCC
Molecule: ribosomal RNA, 292 nt
Filed under: uncultured bacterium
Lineage: Bacteria
Description: partial 16S ribosomal RNA
Rfam family: Bacterial small subunit ribosomal RNA
Source: RNAcentral